This 186-nucleotide non-coding RNA is filed under the name Candidatus Omnitrophota bacterium. Lineage: Bacteria; Pseudomonadati; Candidatus Omnitrophota. The record is from RNAcentral.
AUUAUUUAAAGUAGUAUAAGUUAAAUGAAUAUGGGUUAAGGGAAAUCCGUGCAAGCGGAUGCGGUCCCGCCGCUGUAACCGGGGACGAAAGCUCAAAAGUUUGCCACUGCCUAAAUUUAGGCGGGAAGGCAUGAGCAAGUAGGUUGAUCCGGAAGUCAGAAGACCUGCCUAUAUUUUCCUCGCGGA